AGAUUGAACGCUGGCGGCAUGCCUAACACAUGCAAGUCGAACGGGAGUAGCAAUACUCUAGUGGCGGACGGGUGAGGAAUACGUAGGAAUUUGCCCUUAAGUGGGGGAUAACCCGGGGAAACCCGGAUUAAUACCGCAUGACCUCGAAAGAGCAAAGUGGGGGAUCGCAAGACCUCACGCUUUUGGAGAAGCCUACGUCGGAUUAGCUAGUUGGUGAGGUAAUGGCUCACCAAGGCGACGAUCCCGUAACUGGUCUGAGAGGAUGAUCAGUCACACCGGAACUGAGACCACGGUCCGGACUCC
Molecule: ribosomal RNA, 303 nt
Filed under: uncultured soil bacterium
Lineage: Bacteria
Description: bacterial SSU rRNA
Rfam family: Bacterial small subunit ribosomal RNA
Source: RNAcentral